AACGAACGCUGGCGGCAUGCUUAACACAUGCAAGUCGAACGAGACCUUCGGGUCUAGUGGCGCACGGGUGCGUAACGCGUGGGAAUCUGCCCUUAGGUACGGAAUAACCCAGAGAAAUAUGUGCUAAUACCGUAUGAUGUCGAAAGACCAAAGAUUUAUCGCCUAAGGAUGAGCCCGCGUAAGAUUAGCUUGUUGGUGAGGUAAAAGCUCACCAAGGCGACGAUCUUUAGCUGGUCUGAGAGGAUGAGCCGCCACCGUGGGACGGAGAAACGGCCCAGAGUCGUAAGGGAGGCAGCAGUGGGGAAUAUUGGACAAUGGGCGAAAGCCUGAUCCAGCAAUGCCGCGUGAGUGAUGAAGGCCUUAGGGUUGUAAGGCUCUUUUACCAGGGAUGAUAAUGACAGUACCUGGAGAAUAAGCUCCGGCUAACUCCGUGCCAGCAGCCGCCGUAA
This 449-nucleotide ribosomal RNA is filed under the name uncultured bacterium. RNAcentral's name for it is "partial 16S ribosomal RNA". It matches the Rfam family "Bacterial small subunit ribosomal RNA", at positions 29 to 523 of the family's 1533-position model. The record is from RNAcentral.